UCUCAAUUUCCUUACAGCAGAUGUAUCCAUUUAGAUGCUUGUCAAUAAGCUACUUUUCCUCCUGACAAUAAUGCUACUGCUGUAGCAGAGCAGAGUCCUUAGUAGCUGCCCUUUUACCACCAGGAAAGGUGUUUCUUUAGAUGAUUGAUCAGGCAACAGACCAACGGCUUGUUUGUCUUUUGCUGUAGGUGUGGACAGGCUAACAUUGUAGUCCUAUAAUUCCAACUCUUUCAGAAGGAAUUGUUUUUUCUGUAGCAGCAGCUGAGGAGGGACAACACAUCCAUCUUUAGAUGUGAGCACGUCAACGCGCCUCACCCAUUGCAGCCAGUCGUUGUAGCUCGUCUUCGUUGUCGGUGCUGUGUGGCCGCCCGAUCUGGAGGACCUGGUUCUGACCGUCGCUGCUGGACUUGCACAGCAGAACCCGCGCAGCGUCGCAGAAACGCCCUUGUCAAUAUGAGACCACACAUAUAAACAAACAGGAUCCCACAACCCAGCUUUCUUUUUUUUAUUUAUUUAUUUAUUUUUAGCAGUCAGACUCAUACUCCUGUUGAUAAAAGCAGAUCAGACAAACUCCAUCCAGAUGUCAAAUCCUCCCGGGAACUCGAUGCGUCCGGGUGAAAGAGAAGGUUUGUGGACUUUCCUGAGAUGAGCGAUGGACUCGUGAAUGUGACCGGGAGUGUGAAGCASAGACAGAAGGUCGGAAGUGAACCUUGAGGUUGGGAAACAAAGACUCAGAAGAGAAAAAAUGUCACUUUUUUCCAUUCACCAGCAAAACCAAAAGUUUCACAAAAAAUCUUCUGCAUUAUUGGAUGCUGCAGAGCGUCGUCCUGGGCUGGGAUACCUGCUGUCACCAUGGCAGCAGCAGCUCGCGUAAGGAGAGCGGCAGAGACAGGAGGCCUUGUCAAAAUAUAAUUCAAGGAGAGCCGCUGCAGUAUCAAGGGGACGCAAUGAGACAAACACACAUAAUGACAAGUCCGGGACCCACCAGCUCACAUGACCUCUCAUCCACUGCAUUGAGUCACUUUUCACACCACGCAUUGUGUCACACUGAAAGCCUUACUUUUAUUUUAACUUCACUUAACGUUAGCGAAAGCAAAACCUCUCUCUAGUCCGGAAAAAAAAAAAUCUGUGUUCCGCACCGCAGUGUUGAUUUAAUAAAUUAUUAUUUUUUUUAUUUAGAAAGUCAAAGUGGUUAAUCCUAGGCGUUCUGUGCAAAGCUGUAAUUGUCUUCUGGUAAAUGUGUUUAAAGCCGAAUAGGAGGGGCAUAUCUGGACAGAUGCCGAGGAACUUGGGUAUCCCUUCUUGUUCAACUUUGAAUCUUGAAAUCUCUUUCAAAUCAAGGCUAGCUUUUCAUACAAACACGAUAUACUGUAUGCCAGUCUUUAAGUGUUGUGUAAUCCAUCAGUCACUUCACUAAUGCACUUACAACUCUUAAGUGCAUUUUUAUCAAUCUACAUUUGAUAAUAAGCACCCUACUCUAUGUUGUGUUUAAUCUUUACUGAGAAAAUGUUACAUGGUAAUUACUCAAGAGAGAUAAAACAGUAUUAUCUGUGGAACAACUCCCUCUUUUUCUCCUUUUAGUUACUUUAUUUUAUCAAUGUAUGUUGCCUUUGGAGUACAAACUUAUCAAAAAUCAGCCUAACAAGCCAGUGGUGCUGGGCAACCUAACGACAGAACAUUAUCAAAUUUAAAUGCGCCAUUUCAGCACUUCUUUACAAAGAUAUCAAAGAUCCUUUGUGAUCAACAACACCAAAAAAUGUGGCCAUGUUUAUGUAAUCUGAAGAACACAGAGAGGUAGAAAAAUAAACAUUAUUUAUUCAGCUAAUGUCUAAAAACAAAAUAAGAAACGCAGUUAAAAUUACAUGUGAAUACAUUUCUUCAAAUCAUUGAAAAACAUGCCAUGCCAUAGUCCUCUGACUACUUCCUGUCAUCUUCUUUUUUUUGUGGUUUGCACCAGUAGCAACAUCCGGUUAUUGAAAAAGUGUUUCCUUUACAGUUUUGCUAAAUAAACCAACUUAUUCAUGCUAGCACCAACA
Molecule: non-coding RNA, 2036 nt
Organism: Poecilia reticulata (guppy)
Lineage: Eukaryota; Metazoa; Chordata; Actinopteri; Cyprinodontiformes; Poeciliidae
Source: RefSeq, a predicted model, not a curated record